Molecule: ribosomal RNA, 254 nt
Filed under: uncultured bacterium
Lineage: Bacteria
Description: partial 16S ribosomal RNA
Rfam family: Bacterial small subunit ribosomal RNA
Source: RNAcentral
UACGGAGGGAGCUAGCGUUGUUCGGAAUUACUGGGCGUAAAGCGCGCGCAGGCGGUCUUCCAAGUCAGUGGUGAAAGCCCGGAGCUCAACUCCGGAACUGCCAUUGAAACUGUUAGACUUGAGGACGAGAGAGGUGAGUGGAAUUCCCAGUGUAGAGGUGAAAUUCGUAGAUAUUGGGAAGAACACCGGUGGCGAAGGCGGCUCACUGGCUCGUUUCGUGACGCUCGGCGCGACAGCGUGGGGAUCGAAACAGG